This 497-nucleotide ribosomal RNA is filed under the name uncultured bacterium. Its description in RNAcentral is "partial 16S ribosomal RNA". It matches the Rfam family "Bacterial small subunit ribosomal RNA", at positions 28 to 507 of the family's 1533-position model. The record is from RNAcentral.
GACGAACGCUGGCGGCGUGCCUAAUACAUGCAAGUUGAGCGCUGAAGGUUGGUACUUGUACCAACUGGAUGAGCAGCGAACGGGUGAGUAACGCGUGGGGAAUCUGCCUUUGAGCGGGGGACAACAUUUGGAAACGAAUGCUAAUACCGCAUAAAAACUUUAAACACAAGUUUUAAGUUUGAAAGAUGCAAUUGCAUCACUCAAAGAUGAUCCCGCGUUGUAUUAGCUAGUUGGGGAGGUAAAGGCUCACCAAGGCGAUGAUACAUAGCCGACCUGAGAGGGUGAUCGGCCACAUUGGUACUGAGACACGGCCCAAACUCCUACGGGAGGCAGCAGUAGGGAAUCUUCGGCAAUGGACGAAAGUCUGACCGAGCAACGCCGCGUGAGUGAAGAAGGUUUUCGGAUCGUAAAACUCUGUUGGUAGAGAAGAACGUUGGUGAGAGUGGAAAGCUCAUCAAGUGACGGUAACUACCCAGAAAGGGACGGCUAACUACGUG